RNAcentral lists this ribosomal RNA (253 nucleotides) under uncultured bacterium. Its description in RNAcentral is "partial 16S ribosomal RNA". It matches the Rfam family "Bacterial small subunit ribosomal RNA", at positions 524 to 776 of the family's 1533-position model. The record is from RNAcentral.
UACGUAGGGCGCAAGCGUUGUCCGGAAUUAUUGGGCGUAAAGAGCUCGUAGGCGGCUUGUCACGUCGGGUGUGAAAGCCCGGGGCUUAACCCCGGGUCUGCAUUCGAUACGGGCUAGCUAGAGUGUGGUAGGGGAGAUCGGAAUUCCUGGUGUAGCGGUGAAAUGCGCAGAUAUCAGGAGGAACACCGGUGGCGAAGGCGGAUCUCUGGGCCAUUACUGACGCUGGGGAGCGAAAGCGUGGGGAGCGAACAGG